AUGAACGUGCUCCGACUGGAGUCUCGUAUCGCCAGCGCCAUAAGCUACCUCGCGCGCCUGAAGGAGGUAGUCUCCCAAAUCGACUCAUCGCUUUGGCCGGGGGCAACGCUUCACAACGACUUGGAAUCCUUGAUGACUCGACUGAACGAGAUCCCUGACCGAGUGCAAGAAUGGAAGAAAUCCUCCACCCGGUGUGGUGCUGAUGUGGCGUUGUCCUUGGUGCGAGUCCAUUGCAAGGAAGCUCGUGAAGACAAGCUGGCUGUGAUCAAAGUUGCUAACACCAAAAAGCAUGACUUCCAGUCCUUCAUGGAGACUUUCAUUGCUGCCGCCACUUGGAUCGCUGAUGGGAUCGACCUGGACUCAUUUGUGGCGCCUGCCAGCCCUCCUCCGGCUGAGUGA
Molecule: ribosomal RNA, 399 nt
Filed under: Triticum aestivum (bread wheat)
Lineage: Eukaryota; Viridiplantae; Streptophyta; Magnoliopsida; Poales; Poaceae
Description: partial small subunit ribosomal RNA
Source: RNAcentral